Molecule: RNA transcript, 3640 nt
Organism: Brienomyrus brachyistius
Lineage: Eukaryota; Metazoa; Chordata; Actinopteri; Osteoglossiformes; Mormyridae
Gene: chpt1
Gene name: choline phosphotransferase 1
Exons: 9
Source: RefSeq, a predicted model, not a curated record
GGCGUGCGGUGGGAUUCAUAUUUCCCGGUCGCAUUCUCUUCCGGGCGUGAGUUUCCUGUCCAAGCUCACUCUACAACUCCAGCUCGGAGAGCGACGGAUGGCUGGCGAAACGCGGGGAUGCCUUCCGCCCCGCAGCGCCUAAAUGCGUGACCCUCCACCGAUCGGACGAGUGGUGCGUGUCGGACGUCGUCAGAGACCGCAGGCAUUAAGCGCAGCGCAAUAAGGCAGCAGCGACGAUGCCGAUCCCUGUGCGCUUAGAGCCGCUCUCAGCCCAGCAACUCAAGCGACUGGAGGAGCACAAAUACAGCGCGUCGGGGCGCUCCCUCUUCGAGCCGCCUUGCCAGAUAUACUGGAAUUGGCUUGUUCAGCAGAUCCCCACCUGGGUAGCUCCCAAUACACUGACCAUUACAGGACUUAUCAUCAACAUCGUCACGACGGUUAUUCUGGUCUUCUACUGCCCGUCUGCCACGGAGGAGGCGCCAUGCUGGGCCUUCAUCCUCAGCGCAUUUGGCCUCUUCAUCUACCAGUCUCUGGACGCCAUCGACGGGAAGCAGGCAAGGAGGACCAACAGCAGCUCGGCGCUCGGGGAGCUCUUUGACCAUGGCUGCGACGCCGUCUCCACAGUGUUCGUGUCCGUGGGAACGUGCAUAUCCUGUGGAAUGGGAGUGUAUCCAAACUGGAUGUUCUUCUGCGGCUUCGUGGGCAUGUUCAUGUUCUUCUGCGCGCACUGGCAGGCCUACGUCUCCGGGACGCUGCGAUUCGGCCUCGUGGAUGUGACGGAGGUGCAGGUGGCCAUCAUGGUGAUUUACCUGAUGUCAGCCUUCGGAGGAGUGGCUCUGUGGGACACAAGGCUGCCUGUCAUUGGGAUAAAGCUGCAGACCUUCCCCAUCCUGGGAAUCAUCGGCGGAGCCGUUUACUCCUGUUUCAACUACUUUGAAGUCAUUAUGAAUGGGGGGGUUGGCAAAAACGGCUCCACCGUGGCUGACACCAGCGUUCUUUCUCCAGGGCUCCACAUCGGCCUCAUCCUUACUCUGGCCUUUAUCAUCUUCAAGAAGUCAUCCAGUCAUUUGUUUGAGCUCCACCCCUGCCUGUAUAUAUUAGCCUUCGGCCUGGUCAGCGCCAAGAUCUCAAAUAAACUAGUGGUGGCCCACAUGACCAAGAGUGAGCUCCAUCUUCCAGAUACUGCGUUCGUAGGGCCUGGCCUCCUCUUCCUUAACCAGUACUUCAACAGCUUCGUCGACGAGUACAUCGUCCUCUGGAUCGCACUGGUCCUGUCUGUGUUAGACCUGACGCGGUACUGCACGGCGACGUGCCUCCAGAUCGCGGCCCACCUGCGGAUCCGGGUCUUCAGCAUUGUCCCACAGGUCCACGUCUCCCGUGACUGACUGCUUGCCCAGCAGGAGGAGACCGGGUCGGGGCAGAACAAAGGCACCGACCCGCCACUAAUGCCCGGGGAACCUCGCGACCUCCACAGCCAUAACCUGAUCAGCCUCGACUCUCCUGAGUCAGAUUCGUAUCCGAGCGACAACUAAACCAAAACGCGGAUUCUGACAGUGCUGGAUGUCGUUAUGGGAUUAUGGUUUGCCGUCAGAUUUCGUUUCUAUAAUAUUUCAAUUUAUACCUAGACUACUUUGUAAGCUAACUAAUUUAGAAACAAAACUUGUAGAUUAAUACUGAGACAUUCCCCAGAGCCUUUAUCUAGUAUAUUUCCUUGAUGGAAUACCAGCAUCCUCACUGCCUACUUGGGUAGGAGUUCAGAGACUCUGAUCCAGUUUAGAUAUGAGGGACACCUGUCCUGACAGGCAGAAGUCCCUGAGGACUGACACCACUGCGUUGUUUUGCAGCUGGAUGUCGAUAUUUUACUUGCCAUUUCCUGUCAUGAAAGGCUUGCAGUAUGUUGUGAGUAAGGCUUACUCAACACUGGAAGGCCUACGGUAUGCUAUGAGUAAGGCUUACUGUACACUAGAAGGCCUACUGUAUACUAGGUGUACAGUAUGCUAUGAGUAAGGCCUACUGUAUACUAGAUGGCUUACUGUAUGGUUUACUGUAAGGUUAUCUAAUGUAUUUUAAGUUUGCUUGAUUCAAGUUGAAAACUGAGCAACAGUAAGCAUUCCCGAAAUUCCUACCGUUUCUAUUCGGACAGAUCUAAGAGAAUGAAUGACAUCAUGCUUUGGCUGCUUUUAUAUGUAAAUCGCCCGCCCCCGAUGACAAUGACGUAAUGCUUAAUAAAAGUUUCAUAGUUAGGAGUGAAAGCGGGACGACAAGAGACUCGUCAGAUAUCGAAGUCGAAACUUUUGACAGUUGCGCCCUGCUGCCAGUUGCUGGAGUCUGGAUAUAGAAUGAGUUACAUUUUUAGAAUGCAGUGUUUCCAGUGAGCAUAGUGUAUAUUUACAGUGCUUUUAGGCAGAACUCUGUCAAAGGCAGCAGGCAGAGAAGUGACUCAGCGUUGGUUCUCAUAAGUGUGGCGAUACCCCCCCCGAAGCUGCAUACUCCACAGAAUACUCCAUUUUCUCCUCCCUGUCUAUUCUGUGAGCAGACAGCCAAGCCCUGCUCACAUCCCGCGUCAGCAUGAUGUGCCAAAACACCCGGGGGUGACGUAAACGACCCAAAACUUGUUCUACGGUCUCCUCCCUAAGGGCUAAGCACGCAAAAAACCAAUUUGGCAGUAAUGUUAUUCUCCAGCUGGGCGUGGGAUACAGCUGCUGCACAUGGACUCAUAUUUCUCAGCUGUUUUGAUGCCCGGAACCAAUAUUUUUUUCCAUCAAUAGCUCAUAAAUUAUGAGGAUGGAGUUUCCCUGGUGAUGGUGAGCCCUCAGAGCAGCAAGGAUUGAAGAGUUAUACACAUGGUGACCAUCUGCUGUUGCUGUGGAGGGGAAAGGCAGUGGGGAGGGGUGGCUCACGAGGGCCGGGGACGGGGGGGGAGGCACGCAGCAGUUACUGCGGACCUCACCUCUAAUCUCCUGGACCCCGCAGUCGCACCCUGGAAACGGACCGGGAGCCAGGCGGACCUGGCGCUCUUCCUUCUGCACAUCAUUCUUUUUUAAAAUGUUAUUUUUUUCCACAGAAAACCUUUUGUUGUGUGAUUUGUCGCUCAUGCCAUGUUUCGGUCCCAAAUCUCCAUUUUGAUUGGCCAUUAAGAAGGACUCGUUCCGUGUCACUUUCUCCAGAUCCUGUGCUCACAGACAAAUUGUGGCAUUUCUCUGGCCCUUACUGUGAGAUGGCAUUGGUGCUAAUACAUUUGUUACAGUGCAGAACUUAUUAAACAUGUUUUUUUUUUCUCCUUGAUCCCACCUAAAUACAUUUCUUUGCUGUCCUGAUCCCAUUUGGGGGGCCCACCUUCAUCAGUCACGUCCCCCUUUGUGUGGCUCAGCCUUGAUAAAAGCUGCAGAUGAAAAGCGGAUGACAGCUCAUCUCCCUCAUAAACCGUUUUGCUAUCUACACUGUACUUUCUGGAAUAUUCUGAUCAUAAUGUAUAUGGAAUUUCAUUCAAAGCUUGUGCAGAUUUUUAGUGUCACCGAACACUAAAUGUAUCUCACUUUUAUGCCAAAGCAACACUGAUCAAAUGUGUCGAAACUAGGUCCACAUUCGCCAAAUUUUGAUGGUUUUUAUAAUUUAAUAUAUUAAAAUUCACUGUAGACUC